CAYUUCMCGGUAAAAGAACUGGCCCAGAUCGUUUACCGUGAAAAAAUUAGAGUGUUCAAAGCAGGCAGAUCCAAUUUUCKGCCWCCGAAUACAUUAGCAUGGGAUAAUGGAAUAGGACCCUGUCCUCCUAUUUUCAGUUGGUUUUGGCAGCSCGAGGACUAGGGUAAUSAUUAAUAGGGAUAGUUGGGGGCAUUAAUAUUUAAUUGUCAGAGGUGAAAUUCUUGKAUUUAWGAAAGAUUAACUUCYGCGAAAGCAUCURCCAAGGAUGUUUUCAUUAAUCAAGAACGAAAGUUAGGGGAUCGAAGACGAUCAGAUACCGUCGUAGUCUUAACCCUAAACGAUGCCGWCCAGCGAUUAGGAGACGUUGAAUACUUCCCCCCACCAUCGGCGCGGUCGUCCUUGGCGUCGGUCUUUCGGGGCCGGC
Molecule: ribosomal RNA, 424 nt
Filed under: Acanthamoeba sp.
Lineage: Eukaryota; Discosea; Longamoebia; Acanthamoebidae
Description: partial 18S ribosomal RNA
Rfam family: Eukaryotic small subunit ribosomal RNA
Source: RNAcentral